CCCUCAGGGCGGCCCUUCCCUUCCCCUCAGGGCGGCCCUUCCCCUCCCCUCACGGGGCCCUUCCCCUCACGGCGGCCCUUCCUUUCCUCUCAGGGCGGCCCUUCCCUUCCCCUCACGGGGCCCUUCCCCUUACGGCGGCCCUUCCCUUCCCCUCACGGGGCCCUUCCCCUCACGGCGGCCCUUCCCUUCCCCUCACGGGGCCCUUCCCCUCAGGGCGGCCCUUCCCCUCACGGCGGGUCUUCCCUUCCCCUCACGGGGCCCUUCCCCUCACGGCGGCCCUUCCUUUCCUCUCAGGGCGGCCCUUCCCUUCCCUUCCCCUCACGGGGCCCUUCCCCUCACGGGGCCCUUCCCUUCCCCUCACGGGGCCCUUCCCCUCACGGCGGCCCUUCCCUUCCCCUCACGGCCCCGGGGCGGCUCCCGGAGCCCAGAGUGCGGCUGCUGCUCCUCUGCGUGCUCAAGGAGACACUUCGGGGCUGGCGGGGAUCGCUUGUGGUUCACCGUGAGGAAAAGCGAACCAGAUAUGGGCAAAUUGCGGAGACAUUUCAUUUAAAUGUGCUGGCAGCCAACAAAUGAUCAGCUCCUCGUAAUGCACAGCACUGGCGGCAGGGGAAUCAAGGGAGGGGCUCAGGCUGUUUUUAAGUAACUCGUCACAAGGGUGGAAGUGACAUGGGUGUACAGAUGACAGCUUGUCCCCCAGUUUGCUGGAAUGGAAUUUUGUCACUUACCUUGCUGCACAGCAUCAACAGAUGUUGGACCCAUUGUCCUGCUCUCCCUUCCCUACUUCAGCACUGCACACAUAGGAAUGAGGGACAGCUCCCAUCAAGGAACUCUAGUCUGCCCGAAGAGUCCAGCAGUGAAGUGCCUCUCUUCAAUUCCUGCCUUGGCCAGCAAGAUCCUCCAAAAAACUUGUGUCUUCUUCACAGUCCCCUUCUGACCUGCCAGGGUUUUCUCCAGGGCUGAGCAUUGUCAUGUUGCUCUGAAGUUCUGCAUAAAGCCUAGACAAAAGGCUGAAGAUAGCAUUGGUGUUAAAUAAGUGUGGAGGGAAGGAAGGCAGAAAACCUGCGGCCAGAAUACAGCAGAGUGACUUGCUACCAGCCUGGCAUUCAUUUUCAAGGCAAUUAAGUGUGCAGUGCUAGAUCAGAGCACAACAGCCAGUCAGCCUCAGUUUACAUUCCACGCAGUUACCUGGGUGCACUCCUGUAAGGUAAAACCCAGGAUCCGUAGAUGUGCAAAAACUUUUGUCAAAGCUGUGGGUAUCAGGCCCAGUGCCAGGGUUCAGAGCUGUGCAGGUGCACAGGCUGAGUCAGUGACACAGCUCCCUGCCUGCAAGCCUGGGGGGAGGAGCAGGGCCCAGACUUACUGACAAGGCAGGGUGGCAAAGGCUCUUGGUUUGUCCUGAUGGAGAGUCCCUUGAAUCUUUGCACUAGUAUCCUAAGGUACUUUUUAUACAACAUGUGUUACCCAACUGUUUUUUGUAAUCAUAUGAAUCUCCAAUAAGAUGACUAGUGUUGCACCCUCCUUGUACCAGUCUAAAAACAAACGUGUACAGCAGCUGACUGCAAUGCAAGGCAGCGAUACCUUUCUGCUUUUGCUUCCUCUUGUUUCCAGGACUGAAUUGCUUAAAUAAAUCUUCCUGCAUGUGAAUUAUAUCCACUUCACUUGGAAUUUCCUGCCCUACUUACUUUGUUGUGCAACUUCUUACUGUGGCAGUCGCUCAUAUUUAAUAAGCUUCUGCCCGGACAUAAGGCCUUGUUAUUUUAAAGCUUAUACUUUAUAUUAAAAAAUCAUUGUAAAAAACACAGCUCAUUGUGCCCACACUAGCAGUAGGACCUGCCACACACGAAAACAUCAAGUAGAAAGAUGAGGGUAAAGAUGGAAGAAAUCGAAAGGACAUCCCAAUCAAGCAUUCAUUUUGUUGAACUGUAACUUAGAUAACUACAUAUACAAUAAAAGUAGCAAUGUAGAUACACAGUAAAGAGCAAUACUUCUGGGAGAAGGCAGUUCCUGUGAUAUUGCUGUGUACACCAAAGUAUUAAUAUACCACUAAAUGCAAAUGGGGUGUUGGAUUAUUUUUUUUUAAUUUAAUCAAAUUAUCUUGGUGGGGGAAGAAUUUCAGACAGUUAAUCAAGCCUUCCAACACUCCAGUUUUCUCUUUGUUGCCCUAAUCACCAGUAAUUUUUCCUGGAAUUGCCUGGACACACUCAGAAUGAACCACACUGUCUGCCUGGCUGCUGAGACCUUGCUCCAUUUGUGUCAACAUACCUACAGCUGUGUCCUUUCCAAUUUUCCACAGCACCUUGGAAGCAAAGGCAAAGGAGGAUGUUUCUGAUGACUACCUCCCAGCAAAGGAAAACAUGUUACUGUGGUUGCCUACGUAUGGGAACAGAUGCCUGACCUCCGUCCUCAAACUCCUUCCAACUACAACAACCGUUCAUCCUAAAGAGCUUUUGUGCUGCAACCUUGUACACGUGUUGGGCAGUGCCUUUAUCUUGUCCUUGGCACAGAUGCCUCACCUACAGCCGGGCUGCUUCUAACACAGAGAGCAGCAUUUGCAAUCAGACACUACACUGCCACUGUGUGAUCUAUCAAAAUCUAAACCUUAUAAACGCAGCACUAGUAAGAAAUAUGCAAGUUUGUCACUGGGUUGCUUUUAAACUUUAAAACAAAGAGCUACAUAAACACAAUUCUUAGAAAUAAAUUUUUGCAAAGCCAUUUAUAUUUGACCUUCUGAGGGAGGGAACAGGAUAACGAGGCUGUAAGGAUUCUAAAGGAAUUUUUACCGGCUUUGAAACACAGUGUUGGGAACUCAUCAUUAAGAUUUCAUGGAAACCUCAAGCUGCUGUUAUCCCACUGAGGUAAGAACUUUCUGUAGUAGUCAAUUAUAAAAAUAAAACACAUUUUCAAUAUAUGCAAGUUCCUUCAGACAGGCAUUCCUUUUUGUAAUAUAAACCCCCUCCCCAAAUCCAAACCACAAACCAACAAAAAAAAGGUAAAAAUGUGAGUAGACCUUAGAUUUAAUUAAUACUUUUACUCAUCAUCAAACUCAGAAGUUAGGGAAGACAUCCUGAGAUCUUACCUUGCCUCAAGAUACUAAGAAAAAAAUCCAACACUUCACAUAAUCCCUAUGUAAGAUGACAAAUAUCUACUAUCUAUAAGGCAUCCUUGUGGAGCUCUACCCCUUUUACUGCCCAGUCUGACAUUAGACACUUGAAUUUUACCCUUUAUGUCAGAGGACUCAAAUCAGUUGAUUCCUCAAGCCUUCAAUUAAAAACAUUUUUUAAAUGUGUGCAAGACCCACACUUGUAAAACUGUGUGGUCAAACUCUUUUUUUUCUGCUUUGAAUCGUCAAACACAUCCAGAUAAGCUAUGUACACCCCAGCUGGAGAAUGGAACUGUCUUUUUACCAUUUUCUUAUGGAAUGUUCUCAAAAUUCUGAUCUGGGAUAAGUCCUCCUCACACGCAGCAAAUCAGAAGAACACAUUUGAAUGACGUUCAAUUCUGCAGCUCAACAUGCUGUGUUUGCAUGGGAGCUGUAGUAAAAGCAGAAGGCAAUACUUUUGCAGGUUUUUUAGCUCAGCUUCAGAAACAGUACAAAGGCCUUUGAACUGUAAUGUAGCAGCAGUCCCACGAAACCAAGCAGCCAAAGCCGCAGGGAGCGGGGGCACAGCAGCAGCAGCAGAGGCCAGAGCCUGGCUCGCACAGGAAGAGGAGGAGCUGCAGUACAGAGCAGGUACGGGGCCUCUCCUAACACCACUUGCAGAAAAAGCCUCAAGACAGACAAUGCCAAGCCCACGAACAGUCUUUACUUCUCUCAGUUAUUUCACAGCACAAUGAGACACAGCACAAAGUUUGUACAGUGGGAUCUGCAGACAGUUUAAAAACAGGCAAUUAUCUUUAAUAAAAAGCAUUGAGUCUAAAUGAAAAUAAUAUGAAGACAAACAAUACUGAAGCUAAUGAUCACCUUGCUUGCUUUUGAUUGUCUAAAAAGUCCAAGACUUGUCAUAGUGCCUUUAAUGUUCUCCACAUCACCUUCUCCAAACACCCUAGUUAGUGUAAAGCUUAAUGUGCCUCAACUCAUAUGUGUGGGUAGGUUUCACAACCUUUUGCUCUCAAACCCUACUUGCAGUGUGUGGGGAGGUGCAACAGCUCUCAUCAUACAACAUUCUGAUUCACAAAGAAGCAGCACAAGUGUUGUACAUAAUUUAAUUUGCACUUCUGUAUAUAAAUGUUUACUAUAUUGCACACUAUUGCAGCACUUAAAAACAUCUAAUUAUUUGCAAAAAUUAGUAAAAUACUUUAAAGGAUUUAAAAAUAAGGGUUUUAAUGCAACUGACAAGAUAAUAAAAAAAGCAAUUUACUUAAUGAGAUACAAUCCUUUAUGUUGGAAAUGAAAGUUACAUACAACUAGAGUACAAUUAAAAUAUACCAUAUAGUUCAACACUUAAUUCCUCAAAUGUGUAAAAUUAACAAGCUUCUACUGUCAUAGAUAUACAAUUUUUCCAUAUUGUGAAAAGGAUUUUUCAAAUUAAAUACAGGUAACAUAAUAUUCUGUAGUUAUAUUUCACGACUGUGUUUAAAUGAGAGGGUUGUAUAAUACUCACAUUGUCAAAUGUACUCACUAAUGCCUUGGAAAUUGCACACUUCCCCUCCUUUUCCAAAAUAGAAUCUCGUUUCCAUACUGAAGUCUAUUAUGCCAUAUUGGAAAAGUGUUUAACUUGCUGACAGGAUUUUCAUAAAAUUAAAAAAUAGCAGAAUAUCAUGGCAUUAUGAUGACUUUUCCACUUAUGCCCAUGUAGAAUUUAAUCUGGAUAUCAGACAGACACGUCAGAACCAAUUUCCUAGACUUUUGUCUUAUUGUACACGCAAGAUGAAUGAUUACAGUAUAUUACAAAACAGAAAAAUCUCUGAACCUUUCUAGAGUUAUAAAUGUAAUGAUUAAAAAUUAAAAUCAUAACAGAAUCAAAUUGUGAUCUCCAACAUUUAUUAAAAUCUUUAAAGUUCAUAAACGACAACAAAGUUACUGUAGAAUUUAUCGCAUACAGCUAGCAUACAGCAGCAUGUCCUUGGUCUAAAUGAAAUACAAAAGAUUUUAACAUUUUCAUACAAAGGAUUUCUUUAAAUUUAUUCAUGUGACGAUAUAUCUUUGUUACAUAAAAUUUGCUACAGCAAAGUAUCUUAUACUUUUCUUGCACGUAUGUAUAUAUGGGUGGACAAGACUGCAUUCGGUGUCAGCCUCCUAAUGACGUUGUGCAAAAAUGCUCAACAACCUAAACACAGAGAAUGUUGGGUGGUACGUUUCAGAAUCUUUUGUAAAAUGUCUAUAAAGGCUUUUCUUUAGGGAGUCUCAUACAGAUUAAAAGGAAGGAAUGCCAUCAGCUGUUGAUUUGCUCUGGCAUUCAAACAAACACAAUGGCUAUGUAUCAAUAUAGC
Pseudopipra pipra is the source of this 5430-nucleotide long non-coding RNA. RefSeq lists it as uncharacterized. The record is from RefSeq and is a predicted model, not a curated record. The transcript is spliced from 2 exons. Lineage: Eukaryota; Metazoa; Chordata; Aves; Passeriformes; Pipridae.